This 253-nucleotide ribosomal RNA is filed under the name uncultured prokaryote. RNAcentral's name for it is "partial 16S ribosomal RNA". It matches the Rfam family "Bacterial small subunit ribosomal RNA", at positions 525 to 777 of the family's 1533-position model. The record is from RNAcentral.
ACGGGGGGGGCAAGCGUUGUUCGGAAUUACUGGGCGUAAAGGGCGCGUAGGCGGCUUUUCAAGUCGGGCGUGAAAUCUCCAGGCUUAACCUGGAAGGGUCGUUCGAUACUGUUAAGCUAGAGUGUGGAAGAGGCUACUGGAAUUCCGUGUGUAGCGGUGAAAUGCGUAGAUAUCGGGAGGAACAUCUGUGGCGAAGGCGACUACCUGGACCAGCACUGACACUGAGGCACGAAAGCGUGGGGAGCAAACAGGA